Molecule: ribosomal RNA, 855 nt
Filed under: uncultured Bacillus sp.
Lineage: Bacteria; Bacillati; Bacillota; Bacilli; Caryophanales; Bacillaceae
Description: bacterial SSU rRNA
Rfam family: Bacterial small subunit ribosomal RNA
Source: RNAcentral
AGUCUGACGGAGCAACGCCGCGUGAGUGAUGAAAGGUUUUCGGAUCGUAAAGCUCUGUUGUUAGGGAAGAACAAGUGCGAGAGUAACUGCUCGCACCUUGACGGUACCUAACCAGAAAGCCACGGCUAACUACGUGCCAGCAGCCGCGGUAAUACGUAGGUGGCAAGCGUUGUCCGGAAUUAUUGGGCGUAAAGGGCUCGCAGGCGGUUUCUUAAGUCUGAUGUGAAAGCCCCCGGCUCAACCGGGGAGGGUCAUUGGAAACUGGGAAACUUGAGUGCAGAAGAGGAGAGUGGAAUUCCACGUGUAGCGGUGAAAUGCGUAGAGAUGUGGANGNGAACACCNAGNUGGNCGAAGGCGACUNCUCUGGUCUGUAACUGACGCUGAGGAGCGAAAGCGUGGGGAGCGAACAGGAUUAGAUACNNCCUGGUAGUCCACGCCGUAAACGAUGAGUGCUAAGUGUUAGGGGGUUUCCGCCCCUUAGUGCUGCAGCUAACGCAUUAAGCACUCCGCCUGGGGAGUACGGUCGCAAGACUGAAACUCAAAGGAAUUGACGGGGGCCCGCACAAGCGGUGGAGCAUGUGGUUUAAUUCGAAGCAACGCGAAGAACCUUACCAGGUCUUGACAUCCUCUGACAACCCUAGAGAUAGGGCUUUCCCUUCGGGGACAGAGUGACAGGUGGUGCAUGGUUGUCGUCAGCNUCGUGUCGUGAGAUGUUGGGUUAAGUCCCGCAACGAGCGCAACCCUUGAUCUUAGUUGCCAGCAUUCAGUUGGGCACUCUAAGGUGACUGCCGGUGACAAACCGGAGGAAGGUGGGGAUGACGUCAAAUCAUCAUGCCCCUUAUGACCUGGGCUACA